UUAUCCCCACCUGGUCCAACUCGGCGCCCAACCCUAACGCACACGGCACACACGCGCCCACCCUGCACGCCGCCGCCGCCGCCCGCGCGCCGCCGCCGACGACCAAAUCUGCCGCGCACCGCCGACCCACACUCCCCGCCGCCACAGCUCCGCUAGCUCUUCUAUCCCAAACUCCUGCCCGCAGCGAGUUCGCCGGAGGAUCUCCGUCCGUCUCGCCUCCUGGGUCCUGGCCACGCGACGCACGCCGGAGACGAGCGAGAAAUUAAGAAGCCGCUCUAGCGGCUGGCAGGAAUCUGAGCAACGACGACGACGCUCCGCAGGCAGCCGCUGCAUCGGAUCCAUCGCCGGUAAACUAUUGUUCAUUCACACACUCCUCGGUCGACUACUCCGAUCCAUCCUACAACUACACGCUUGGAGCUCAGCCGGCCGGCAGCCAUGAAGGUAACUGACUCCUGCUAGUGCUAGAUCACUGCUCUGUUCGACUUCGACGUCCGACGACCAGCUAUCAUCAGUGCCGGUCACCCAGUACUUCGACUCCGCGAUGCAGGCCGGACGACUCGUCAUGGCGAUACCACCGCCGUCGCCGCCCAAGCCUGCAGCCAACAAGGUGAUACGACUACAUUUUUAUAUGACGAACAAAUCAACUGAUUUACAGUAUCUCAUUAACCAAGGAUGAAACAGCGUGCUACAUAUUUGUAUGUAGUUCCAAAUACUAGCAAGUAGAAGGCUGUGUAAUCCCAGACUUGUUCAGCAGUGGGAUGCAAAUGUACUAAAACUGAUCAGCAGCAGUACAAUGUGUUUCAUUGCAUAUUCUGAAUACUAGUGAUUUUCUCAUGUGUUGAUUAGCCACUGAAUAUGAAAUUGACUUGUUAGAAUCAGCCAUGCUUCGUUCAUUGCAUAUUCUUUUGGUAUUAGAAUAUGGUCUGACUAGCCACUCCAUUAAUAUAUUACUAAGUCUAAGUGGAUUCCAGCUUAUGUUUCUUUGCACUAAAAUUGACAAUGGUUUUAGCCAUCUAAUGACAGUAAUGAUGCCAAUUGUGCCAUCGUCCUCAAAUUGACACUGGUUUUAGCCAUCUUAAUUUUAGUAAUUGAUAUCCAAGUUCUAAAAAAAUUUAUGGCUGACAAUGAUUGGGAUAAUGUCGAGAAGCAACUGAAGGAAUUAGUUUCUGUUCAGGUGCAUCCAUGCCUGUUCAUUCCUGUGUAUGAGGAGUUGAUAGCUGAUCAUGUCAGGAAGUAAGAGCGUGGAGCUUCCUUAAAACUAUUCUCUGAAAAAGUUGCUGUUCUGAAUAAUAUCCAGAGUGACUUUGUGAAUGAGAAGGAUCUGAAACAGCAAGUUAGUCGCUGCAGAAGAUCGCAAAGUAAGUUAAAUCACUAGAUAGGAAUUGAAACAAUUUCCAUCCUUAUAUAACACUGAAACAAUUUCCAUCCUUAUAUAGCACCAUUCUCAUCUUUUAUUCCCUAGAUAGGAAUUGAAUUUCGUCAGUUGUGCUGUUUAGUGCUAUGCAAAGACGAAUUUGCUCUCCCUCAUGCAUAAGGUUCAAACACAUGACUUGCGCAUAAGUUCACACAUGUUACAGUACAUUAGGUUCACAAACAUAAAGGCACACAUACAUAUGAGACUAUGAAAGAAUCACAAACCUUCUCUUGCUUGUGCUCAUAGCAGGGCUAGCAGAGUCAGUGUCUUUUUGCUUCUUGUGGCCAUUGCAGGGCUGUCAAAUGAGCCCAAAAGACUCUUGCCCUUUUGCUUGUUAGCAACCUGCUUCUUUUUCCUUGCAGCCUUUGACUUUACAGGAGCAUUUUUCAUGUCAACAGACAUAGCCUCAGGUUGAUUUGAACCAGAUCUUGACCUCACAGCCCACAUAGCUUCAAUAUCCUCUUGGCUACCGUUCUUGCAAUUGUGCCAGCGAUGACCAUAUAACCCUUGCAAAUAGAGCAUUGGUGCUGUCCAUUUUUCACUUGUCUGUAUAGCAUCUCCUAAGCAGACUGAAUUUUUCUUUUCAUUUAUCUUCUGCACAAAGGCAUUACCUACGAUCUGAAUUAUAGAAUUAGUAAAAACAAUAAUUUUUAUGUUGGCAUAUUGAACAACCUUACGCAUUGAUAUGCUUUAUGAUUUUUCACUAUUGUAGUAGGCAUAACAAACAAGCUGACCGUCAGAGUCACCUAUGGUAGCUUUGCUCCAUCUGUUUUCUGUAUAGACUUCUGUUGAUAGUAUAUUAACAGUGUUCAUUUUUAUUCUGUUCAAGUUAUAGUUUCUACAGUUGAAAAUACAUUGGAUUUGUCAUCUUAAUAAUGGGACAGUGCACUGAUUUAGGAGAGUAAACAUGUUCUGCAAACUAUGCUCCUGCAUAAUGUGACAUAAAUCAUCCUCUUCCAUGAAAGUAUCUUGUACUGAUUUUUUUUAGCAAGGUUUAUCUAUACAUCUUUAUGAAAGUAUCUUGUAUGAUAGUUUCUACAUGUUAUGGAACUUCAGUUUAAACCUACUAUGUAAAUUGUAGUUUAUCAAAGGUGUAGAAGCCACUUUGAUGAGUAUUUGUUGUCAUGCGCCUUUCUUUAAUUUAAAAUUUGCUUGGAUGUGUGGUCUUCGUGUCAUAUAUGUGCUGUCGGUUUUUUUGCAGGUUUUGAAAACCUCCCCAUGCAGGGGAGGUUCUGCCGAGAUUUUUUUUUUAAAAAAUAAAAAGUCUUUGCCGAGAGCCUGCCAGCACGGCUCUCGGCAAAGACGACGUCAACAUUGACGUUCCUCGACAGCGCCGUGGGUUUUGCCGAGAGCGUUUCUGGCCUUCGGCAAAGUCUUUGCCGAGAGCCUGCCACGUGGCUCUCGGCAAAGAAUUCUUUGCCGAGAGCUUCUUUGCCGAUAGCUCUUUGCUGAGAGCUUUUAGGCCUUUGCCGAGGGCUCCUGGCUCUCGGCAAAGAAUACGAAUCCAGUAGUGUGUGCAAAAUAAUUUCUCCACCAACGUUUAUGAACAAAGUCACACAAGAAAAAAGAUUGUAUGAUUUUUUUUUUCGAAUUCAACCUUGAAUUCAGAUCUUGCGUAUUUUGAGAUAACAAAUUAAAUACAGUUUCAUAAACAAAUUCUUUUUUUGCAAAGUACAACUUGCAUGCACAUAAACACUCACCUAUGAAUGCCUCCGAGACUAGACCGACAAAGCUUGAGAUCAACUAAGUAAAAUGUGAGCAACAACCCUAUCUUUAAGAAAGCUUGAGAUCAGCAAAAUAAUUAUCGUCAUGUGUUGGAGCCUUUGGUCCAUGAGAAAUGACUGCUAGCUCUAUAGGAUCAUUCUAGGGUAGAUCUAGGGGGGAAAACAUAUUAUGUUCAUGGUAAACAAGUAGUGCAAACAUAGAGAGGAAGAGGGAGAGGUGUGAGUGUCAUCGACUAUCAGAGGAGGGUGGAGUCGGGGUGCUUGAGCUGGUGCAUGACAUUUCUUGGUCGGCGACUAUCUGCGCUAGGCAGCGAUGUUUGGUGAGAAGGCGAUGCAGUGGUGACCGGCGUCGAAGAUGGUGGUGUAGUGCAGUGGCAGCGGUUGGGGUCUUUCCGUCACUGGCUACGCCCCUACUCAAGAUCGGCUUAGAGUUUUGUCGGUGGGUUUGGCGGCUUACGGUGAACCUCAUACUGAGUGCCGCCGGCCCCAACCUCUCUUUAUAGUGCAGGGUGACAGAGGCCCUUCAACUAUAAAUGGGGUGAGCGUCUCUGAUUAGGGCAUGAGUUAAGACCCAAUUAGACCGUUGGGCCUAAUUGGUAGAGAUCAAUCCAACGAUGACUUCAUCUUCAGAGAUUAAUUCCAGUGGGCAUCAAUUUGAUCUUGUUUGUAACCUUUUCUGUUUCUUAAAUUCUCCUGUUGUAUCUCAUGUUUACCUGUUUAUAAUAUAAUAACAUAUGGCUAGUAGGGGGCUAGGGCUUGUCCCUCCUGUUCCUUCCAAAAAAAAGUGAGCACCCAUUGGAGACUUGAACUUUGCUUGAAACUAUAAAAGGGAUCAAGAGAAAUUGAGAGGAGAAAUCUAGAGUCAAUUAGACUUUAUGAUGCAAAUAGGCCUGUUGUAUUUGUGUAGUGGUAGGGUUGUCUAGUGAGAUGUUAUCUACUAGGGUUCAAACUCUAUUGUUGCACUUUUUUCUAUUUUUUUUCUAAAAAAUUAGGGUACGUUCAAUGGUACUGCAUGUUUUCUGUGCACCGGAAGUUAGAGAGCCUCCCAAUCUCCUAUGCCCCAUUAUCGAUCUCUUAUUUGCGUGUGUACGGACGCGCACACAUGUGGUGUGAGUGUGGGUUAUGUGUGACCAAAUUGUACCCAAUAAUAAAAAUAGACUUUAUGAUAAUUUUGGACUUAUGCUUCUUUGAAGAGGUAUAUGGAGCUGAAUUUAUAACCAUUAUCUAAAAAAGAUUGCAACUUGCAUCCCUUCUCCUCUCUCUCAUGCUUUCAUCUAGAAUACGCUUGGCCCUACCUAGUUCGAAGCGAAUAGGCAACACUGAGACCAUGUCAAACACCACGCUUGUUUUUCAGAUGAGAUGCUUCCAUUCUUUCCCUUUUUGUCAUCGGUUACUCCAAUGCAAAGUUUUCACUUCACUACAAGGGCAUGGAAAUGCACAGAGUUAUAGAAAUGUAGUAGACGACGACAUGCAUGGACAUGUCCAACAAACUACAAAUGCUUGAUUUGGCCCGUCACUCCCUGCCGCUCUGAGCCUGCAUCUUGGAGCCCGUCGCAGAAUUGCAGCGCUGACCGAUUCUCCAACAUCCUAGCUAGGAACCAAACAAACAAGCUCUCUUCUCCAUGGUCGCCUAUAUAAGCAGCUGAAUAUGUGUGCUUCUGAACUCAGGGCAUCGCAUACAUAACGCACAGCCAAG
This 4834-nucleotide long non-coding RNA is filed under the name Sorghum bicolor (sorghum). RNAcentral describes it as "long non-coding RNA (SBIC_LNC003777)". Lineage: Eukaryota; Viridiplantae; Streptophyta; Magnoliopsida; Poales; Poaceae. The record is from RNAcentral.